CACAGGAAACAGCUAUGACCAUGAUUACGCCAAGCUUGGUACCGAGCUCGGAUCCACUAGUAACGGCCGCCAGUGUGCUGGAAUUCGGCUUAUUACCGCGGCUGCUGGCACGGAGUUAGCCGGUGCUUCUUCUUCAGUUAACGUCACAGUACGCAGGUA
This 159-nucleotide ribosomal RNA is filed under the name uncultured bacterium. RNAcentral describes it as "partial 16S ribosomal RNA". The record is from RNAcentral.